GGCUGCAACUCGCCUACAUGAAGUCGGAAUUGCUAGUAAUCGCGGAUCAGCAUGCCGCGGUGAAUACGUUCCCGGGCCUUGUACACACCGCCCGUCACACCAUGGGAGUCGGUAACACCCGAAGCCUGUAGUCUAACCGCAAGGGGGACGCAGUCGAAGGUGGGAUUGAUGACUGGGGUGAAGUCGUAACAAGGUAAC
RNAcentral lists this ribosomal RNA (198 nucleotides) under uncultured bacterium. Its description in RNAcentral is "partial 16S ribosomal RNA". It matches the Rfam family "Bacterial small subunit ribosomal RNA", at positions 1303 to 1500 of the family's 1533-position model. The record is from RNAcentral.